Molecule: ribosomal RNA, 500 nt
Filed under: uncultured bacterium
Lineage: Bacteria
Description: partial 16S ribosomal RNA
Rfam family: Bacterial small subunit ribosomal RNA
Source: RNAcentral
AUUGAACGCUGGCGGAAUGCUUUACACAUGCAAGUCGAACGGCAGCACGGACUUCGGUCUGGUGGCGAGUGGCGAACGGGUGAGUAAUAUAUCGGAACGUGCCCAGUCGUGGGGGAUAACGUAGUGAAAAUUACGCUAAUACCGCAUACGAUCUAUGGAUGAAAGCGGGGGAUCGCAAGACCUCGCGCGAUUGGAGCGGCCGAUAUCAGAUUAGGUAGUUGGUGAGGUAAAGGCUCACCAAGCCGACGAUCUGUAGCUGGUCUGAGAGGACGACCAGCCACAGUGGAACUGAGGCACGGUCCAGACUCCUACGGGAGGCAGCAGUGGGGAAAUUUGGACAAUGGACGCAAGUCUGAUCCAGCCAUUCCGCGUGAAGGACGAAGGCCUUCGGGUUGUAAACUGCUUUUGUACAGAACGAAAAGGUCUCUAUUAAUACUAGGGGCUCAUGACGGUACUGUAAGAAUAAGCACCGGCUAACUACGUGCCAGCCGCCGCCGUAA